This 497-nucleotide ribosomal RNA is filed under the name uncultured bacterium. RNAcentral's name for it is "partial 16S ribosomal RNA". It matches the Rfam family "Bacterial small subunit ribosomal RNA", at positions 28 to 507 of the family's 1533-position model. The record is from RNAcentral.
GAUGAACGCUGGCGGCGUGCCUAAUACAUGCAAGUCGAGCGAACGGACGAGAAGCUUGCUUCUCUGAUGUUAGCGGCGGACGGGUGAGUAACACGUGGAUAACCUACCUAUAAGACUGGGAUAACUUCGGGAAACCGGAGCUAAUACCGGAUGAUAUUUUGAACCGCAUGGUUCAAAAGUGAAAGACGGUCUUGCUGUCACUUAUAGAUGGAUCCGCGCUGCAUUAGCUAGUUGGUAAGGUAACGGCUUACCAAGGCAACGAUGCAUAGCCGACCUGAGAGGGUGAUCGGCCACAUUGGAACUGAGACACGGUCCAGACUCCUACGGGAGGCAGCAGUAGGGAAUCUUCCGCAAUGGGCGAAAGCCUGACGGAGCAACGCCGCGUGAGUGAUGAAGGUCUUCGGAUCGUAAAACUCUGUUAUUAGGGAAGAACAUAUGUGUAAGUAACUGUGCACAUCUUGACGGUACCUAAUCAGAAAGCCACGGCUAACUACGUG